GGUCUGAUGCCAUGUCCCCGGUAGCGCAUAUAUGCAGUGACCGGGGAUGCUAUAUUUAGAUAUAUUGUAUUAUUUGCACAUUU
Thalictrum thalictroides is the source of this 83-nucleotide non-coding RNA. NCBI's taxonomy places the organism in Eukaryota, Viridiplantae, Streptophyta, Magnoliopsida, Ranunculales, Ranunculaceae. The record is from the annotation of a GenBank genome assembly.